This 77-nucleotide transfer RNA is filed under the name Mollicutes bacterium. RNAcentral describes it as "tRNA-Ala". It matches the Rfam family "tRNA". From Rfam's summary of the family: Transfer RNA (tRNA) molecules are approximately 80 nucleotides in length. Their secondary structure includes four short double-helical elements and three loops (D, anti-codon, and T loops). The record is from RNAcentral. Lineage: Bacteria; Bacillati; Mycoplasmatota; Mollicutes.
GGGGAAUUAGCUCAGCUGGCUAGAGCACCUGCUUUGCAAGCAGGGGGUCAUCGGUUCAAGUCCGAUAUUCUCCACCA